CCCAGGGGGCCCAGACCAGCUCUUCCCAUCUCUCUGGCUUCCUGCACAGGAAGGUGCUGGUGCACAAUGUCACUGGAGGAAAGGCUUUCUGAUCAGCAGCCCAAACUCCGGGUCUUGCACGGAGUCAUUUCCAGAAUGAGGCCCGUGUACCUCUGACUUCAUUCCGUCCCCAUGACCAGCCAGCUCUGCGACAGCGAAACGUCGCCGGGUCUGCCGCCCCAGCUAGAGUUCAUGGGGAGGUUGAGACUGUGGCCUCCGCCCGCACAUUCCUCCUUCCCACCUGCCUGCCCGGGAACUCAGGUGCUCUGCAGACCCUGUGAUGCCCUGGAGACCCCGGGAUGUGCCUGAGACCCCGACAUGACUGAGUCUUGCCUGGCAAACUUGACGUCUGGCUGGGGAGCCAGACAGGAGCCACAUGGCAGGACUGGGGAGUGACAUGGCAGUGACAGGCAGGGCCACGGGGAGCAGAGGUGGCCCCUGGCUUCGGGGGGUUCCUGCAAGGAGAAAGUCUCCAUCAAAGUCCAGAA
Molecule: long non-coding RNA, 527 nt
Organism: Hyaena hyaena (striped hyena)
Lineage: Eukaryota; Metazoa; Chordata; Mammalia; Carnivora; Hyaenidae
Exons: 3
Source: RefSeq, a predicted model, not a curated record